Manis pentadactyla (Chinese pangolin) is the source of this 160-nucleotide small nuclear RNA. RefSeq annotates it as U1 spliceosomal RNA. The record is from RefSeq and is a predicted model, not a curated record. The transcript has a single exon. NCBI's taxonomy places the organism in Eukaryota, Metazoa, Chordata, Mammalia, Pholidota, Manidae.
GUACUUACCUGGCAGGGGAGAUACUUGAUCAUGAAGGUGGUUUUCCCAGAGUGGGGUUCAUCCAUCGCACACAGGUGUGCUGACUCCUGCAAAUUUCCCCAGUGGGAAGCUUGGCUACAUACUUUGUGGCAGUGGGGGACUGCGCUCCUGUUUUCCUUAU